GGGUCGUUAGCUCAGUCGGUAGAGCAGUGGACUUUUAAUCCAUUGGUCGAGAGUUCGAGUCUCUCACGACCCACCA
This 76-nucleotide transfer RNA is filed under the name Gammaproteobacteria bacterium. RNAcentral's name for it is "tRNA-Lys". It matches the Rfam family "tRNA". From Rfam's summary of the family: Transfer RNA (tRNA) molecules are approximately 80 nucleotides in length. Their secondary structure includes four short double-helical elements and three loops (D, anti-codon, and T loops). The record is from RNAcentral. Lineage: Bacteria; Pseudomonadati; Pseudomonadota; Gammaproteobacteria.